Molecule: long non-coding RNA, 299 nt
Organism: Mobula hypostoma (lesser devil ray)
Lineage: Eukaryota; Metazoa; Chordata; Chondrichthyes; Myliobatiformes; Myliobatidae
Exons: 3
Source: RefSeq, a predicted model, not a curated record
UUGGAAGUGGCUACACAAAUCCAGAGCACUUGACAAAACCCAGGCAGUCACAGAGUGAACAUGAAAAAUACAAGAGACGGGUCAUCAAGGGAAUGGCGGCGUAAGGAAAGGUCUCUCGACAAAAAAGAAGAUGCCACCUGACCUGCUGAGUGUUUCCAGCAUUUACCAUUUUUAAAUCAGACUUUCAACAUUGGCAGCUCUCUUCUAUUCAAUAAACUUCUUUUGAUUAAUGUUUAUACUGAUAUUUUUCCAUUCAUGAAUUUAGAAGUUUAGUGGAUUUAAUAUUACAGUAAUGUUUG